CAGCAGCCGCCACGGGAAUACGUAGGGUGCAAGCGUUAAUCGGAAUUACUGGGCGUAAAGCGUGCGCAGGCGGUUAUAUAAGACAGAUGUGAAAUCCCCGGGCUCAACCUGGGAACUGCAUUUGUGACUGUAUAGCUAGAGUACGGCAGAGGGGGAUGGAAUUCCGCGUGUAGCAGUGAAAUGCGUAGAUAUGCGGAGGAACACCGAUGGCGAAGGCAAUCCCCUGGGCCUGUACUGACGCUCAUGCACGAAAGCGUGGGGAGCAAACAGGAUUAGAUACCCCCGUAGUCCCUGUCUCUUAUAC
RNAcentral lists this ribosomal RNA (304 nucleotides) under uncultured bacterium. Its description in RNAcentral is "partial 16S ribosomal RNA". It matches the Rfam family "Bacterial small subunit ribosomal RNA", at positions 509 to 807 of the family's 1533-position model. The record is from RNAcentral.